RNAcentral lists this ribosomal RNA (490 nucleotides) under uncultured bacterium. RNAcentral describes it as "bacterial SSU rRNA". It matches the Rfam family "Bacterial small subunit ribosomal RNA", at positions 28 to 509 of the family's 1533-position model. The record is from RNAcentral.
GACGAACGCUGGCGGCGUGCCUAACACAUGCAAGUCUAACGAGAAAGGGGUAGCAAUAUCCUGAGUACAGUGGCGCACGGGUGAGUAACACGUAGGCAAUUUGCCUUCAGGACGGGGACAACCUCGAGAAAUCGGGGCUAAUACCCGAUAAUGCAGCGGCACCGCAUGGUGACAGUUGUUAAAGGCCCGCAAGGGCGCCCGGAGAUGAGCCUGCGUCCCAUUAGGUAGUUGGUGAGGUAACGGCCCACCAAGCCUACGAUGGGUAGCUGGUCUGAGAGGAUGAUCAGCCACACUGGAACUGAGACACGGUCCAGACUCCUACGGGAGGCAGCAGUGAGGAAUAUUGCGCAAUGGCCGAAAGGCUGACGCAGCGACGCCGCGUGAAGGAUGAAGUCCGUUAGGAUGUAAACUUCUUUUGUCAGGGGAAGAAUGUGGCGCCUUGGGCGCCAUUGACGGUACCCUGCGAAUAAGGGUCGGCUAACUACGUGCC